GGAUUAGAUACCCUGGUAGUCCACGCCCUAAACGAUGAACACUCGAUGUUUGCGAUACACAGUAAGCGUCUAAGCGAAAGCGUUAAGUGUUCCACCUGGGGAGUACGCCCGCAAGGGUGAAACUCAAAGGAAUUGACGGGGGCCCGCACAAGCGGAGGAGCAUGUGGUUUAAUUCGAUGAUACGCGAGGAACCUUACCCGGGCUUGAAAGUUACUGAAGGAUCCAGAGACGGAUCCGUCCUUCGGGACAGGAAACUAGGUGCUGCAUGGCUGUCGUCAGCUCGUGUUG
This 288-nucleotide ribosomal RNA is filed under the name uncultured bacterium. Its description in RNAcentral is "partial 16S ribosomal RNA". It matches the Rfam family "Bacterial small subunit ribosomal RNA", at positions 775 to 1067 of the family's 1533-position model. The record is from RNAcentral.